This 318-nucleotide ribosomal RNA is filed under the name uncultured bacterium. Its description in RNAcentral is "bacterial SSU rRNA". It matches the Rfam family "Bacterial small subunit ribosomal RNA", at positions 410 to 720 of the family's 1533-position model. The record is from RNAcentral.
GAAGGCCUUCGGGUUGUAAAGCACUUUCAGCGAGGAGGAAAGGUGAGUAGUUAAUAACUGCUCGCUGUGACGUUACUCGCAGAAGAAGCACCGGCUAACUCCGUGCCAGCAGCCGCGGUAAUACGGAGGGUGCAAGCGUUAAUCGGAAUUACUGGGCGUAAAGCGCGCGUAGGUGGUUUGUUAAGUGGGAUGUGAAAUCCCCGGGCUCAACCUGGGAAUUGCAUCCCAAACUGGCAAACUAGAGUACAAGAGAGGGGUGUGGAAUUUCCUGUGUAGCGGUGAAAUGCGUAGAUAUAGGAAGGAACAUCAGUGGCGAAG